AGCAGCCGCGGUAAUUCCAGCUCCAAUAGCGUAUAUUAAAGUUGUUGCAGUUAAAAAGCUCGUAGUUGAAUUUCGGAGUUUGUCGGUUGGUCGGGCUUCACUGUUCGCACUGGCCUGAUGGAUUCCUACCUUCUGAAUAACCAGCAUGCUAUUAAUUUAGUGUGUUGGGGAAGCAGAGCUAUUACCUUGAAAAAAUUAGAGUGCUUAAAGCAGGCUUACGCUUGAAUAGAUUAGCAUGGAAUAAUAAAAUAGGACGGCAUGGUUCUAUUUUGUUGGUUUCUAGGAUCACCGUAAUGAUUAAUAGGGAUAGUUGGGGGCAUUAGUAUUCAAUUGUCAGAGGUGAAAUUCUUGGAUUUAUUGAAGACUAAACUUCUGCGAAAGCAUUUGCCAAGGAUGUUUCAUUAAUCAAGAACGAAAGUUAGGGGAUCGAAGACGAUCAGAUACCGUCGUAGUCUUAACCAUAAACCUAUGCCGACUAGGGAUCGGACGAUGUUAAUUUUUAAUGUACUCGUUCGGUCGG
RNAcentral lists this ribosomal RNA (520 nucleotides) under uncultured Acaulospora. RNAcentral's name for it is "SSU rRNA". It matches the Rfam family "Eukaryotic small subunit ribosomal RNA", at positions 569 to 1086 of the family's 1831-position model. The record is from RNAcentral. Lineage: Eukaryota; Fungi; Glomeromycota; Glomeromycetes; Diversisporales; Acaulosporaceae.